UACGUAGGGGGCAAGCGUUGUCCGGAAUCAUUGGGCGUAAAGCGCGUGUAGGCGGUCCGAUAAGUCGGCUGUGAAAGUCAAGGGCUCAACCCUUGAAUGCCGGCCGAUACUGUCGGGCUAGAGUCCGGAAGAGGCGAGUGGAAUUCCCGGUGUAGCGGUGAAAUGCGCAGAUAUCGGGAGGAACACCAAUGGCGAAGGCAGCUCGCUGGGACGGUACUGACGCUGAGACGCGAAAGCGUGGGGAGCAAACAGG
This 253-nucleotide ribosomal RNA is filed under the name uncultured bacterium. Its description in RNAcentral is "partial 16S ribosomal RNA". It matches the Rfam family "Bacterial small subunit ribosomal RNA", at positions 524 to 776 of the family's 1533-position model. The record is from RNAcentral.